This 305-nucleotide ribosomal RNA is filed under the name uncultured bacterium. Its description in RNAcentral is "bacterial SSU rRNA". It matches the Rfam family "Bacterial small subunit ribosomal RNA", at positions 336 to 638 of the family's 1533-position model. The record is from RNAcentral.
CGCCUACGGGGGGCAGCAGUGAGGAAUAUUGGUCAAUGGACGAGAGUCUGAACCAGCCAAGUAGCGUGAAGGAUGACUGCCCUAUGGGUUGUAAACUUCUUUUAUAAAGGAAUAAAACGAGGCACGUGUGCCUUUUUGCAUGUACUUUAUGAAUAAGGAUCGGCUAACUCCGUGCCAGCAGCCGCGGUAAUACGGAGGAUCCGAGCGUUAUCCGGAUUUAUUGGGUUUAAAGGGAGCGUAGAUGGGUUGUUAAGUCAGCUGUGAAAGUCCGCGGCUCAACCGUGGAAUUGCAGUUGAAACUGGAG